This 84-nucleotide transfer RNA is filed under the name Candidatus Portiera aleyrodidarum (primary endosymbiont of Bemisia tabaci). It matches the Rfam family "tRNA". From Rfam's summary of the family: Transfer RNA (tRNA) molecules are approximately 80 nucleotides in length. Their secondary structure includes four short double-helical elements and three loops (D, anti-codon, and T loops). The record is from Rfam by way of RNAcentral. Lineage: Bacteria; Pseudomonadati; Pseudomonadota; Gammaproteobacteria; Johnevansiales (SeqCode); Johnevansiaceae (SeqCode).
GCCGAGGUGGUGAAAUAGGUAGACACGCUAUCUUGAGGGGGUAGUAACCAUAAGGUUGUGCGGGUUCAAAUCCCGCCCUGGGCA